This 114-nucleotide ribosomal RNA is filed under the name Escherichia coli. RNAcentral's name for it is "partial 23S ribosomal RNA". It matches the Rfam family "Bacterial large subunit ribosomal RNA", at positions 1 to 105 of the family's 2925-position model. Lineage: Bacteria; Pseudomonadati; Pseudomonadota; Gammaproteobacteria; Enterobacterales; Enterobacteriaceae. The record is from RNAcentral.
GGGUUGUGAGGUUAAGCGACUAAGCGUACACGGUGGAUGCCCUGGCAGUCAGAGGCGAUGAAGGACGUGCUAAUCUGCGAUAAGCGGCGUUAAGGUGAUAUGAACCGUUAUAAC